Molecule: long non-coding RNA, 913 nt
Organism: Oryza sativa Japonica Group (Japanese rice)
Lineage: Eukaryota; Viridiplantae; Streptophyta; Magnoliopsida; Poales; Poaceae
Source: RefSeq, a predicted model, not a curated record
CAGCUGUGGCAAUCAUGGAGGACGCCCACCUGCUUCUCUCCCCCAAGGCGGUUGCCGCCUCGCCGCCGUCGCCGGCCGGCGGCGGCGCGGCGGCGAAGGGUCUGGAGCGGCGGGAUCGCGAACGCCGGGGCCGGUGGAUGGAUCGACACGGAUUUGCGUAAUUGUAGGUGUCGCAGAACCAGAUUUCAAGCAAUUAAAGCUUGGCUGAGCUCAUGCAAAUUCUAUCGAAUUUUGGGCUUCGAAAAGUAGCAUGGACGAGGAAGCAUGGAGAAGUACAUAAUGGAGGUCAUCGGGAUGCAUUUGUCGCCCUGGCCACCGAGUUGUGCGCACCACCUAUGGCUACAAGACGGGCGCAAAGUGACAAGAGAGAGAAGAGAAGGAGGGAAGAAGAGGAGGAAUCAGCGGAGGAAACGAAGAAGAGGAGCCCUGUGCUGGCAGUUUAAAAGAAGUAAGCUGACUACACUAGAAAGGAAAGGUGGAAGUAUGGACCCAGGUUACACAAGGGGCAAAGCUAGAAAGAUUUAACAGAGAAGACCAGGCAAUCAGAGCCAAGUUAUUACUACAAAGGCUGCCAGUUGCUAUGGGGUGUCCAAAUCAAGAUCCAAUGUUUGGAUCCUGAUCAAUCUGGAGAUAACAUGCAUCAUCACAUAAUCGUCAAAGUAACCAGCAAAAAGAGCACACAACGUGCAACUAGUUAAGCAAAUGUGUGUUUGUGAGUCAUGACAAUGUAAUAUAAAUCAUUACUUUGCAAAUGUAUAUCAUCAUACCUAAGAUUGGCUAUGCAAUAUGUCGAUUUCAACAGAUCUAGGGAACUUCACAAAUUAGUGUCGUCAUUAGUUCUCUACAGAGUACCAUAAAUAUAUAUGUAUCAAAAUCUGUUUGCAUAUACACUAUCACAUGUUCAUUUCUUAUA